RNAcentral lists this ribosomal RNA (616 nucleotides) under uncultured bacterium. RNAcentral describes it as "bacterial SSU rRNA". It matches the Rfam family "Bacterial small subunit ribosomal RNA", at positions 777 to 1393 of the family's 1533-position model. The record is from RNAcentral.
AUUAGAUACCCUGGUAGUCCACGCCGUAAACGAUGUCAACUAGCCGUUGGGGAUCUUGAAUCCUUAGUGGCGCAGCUAACGCACUAAGUUGACCGCCUGGGGAGUACGGCCGCAAGGUUAAAACUCAAAUGAAUUGACGGGGGCCCGCACAAGCGGUGGAGCAUGUGGUUUAAUUCGACGCAACGCGAAGAACCUUACCUGGCCUUGACAUCCUGCGAACUUUCUAGAGAUAGAUUGGUGCCUUCGGGAACGCAGUGACAGGUGCUGCAUGGCCGUCGUCAGCUCGUGUCGUGAGAUGUUGGGUUAAGUCCCGUAACGAGCGCAACCCCUAUCCCUAGUUGCUAGCAGUUCGGCUGAGAACUCUAGGGAGACUGCCGGUGACAAACCGGAGGAAGGUGGGGAUGACGUCAGGUCAUCAUGGCCCUUACGGCCAGGGCUACACACGUGCUACAAUGGCGCGCACAGAGGGCUGCAAACUCGCGAGGGUAAGCCAAUCUCUUAAAACGCGUCGUAGUCCGGAUCGCAGUCUGCAACUCGACUGCGUGAAGUCGGAAUCGCUAGUAAUCGCGAAUCAGAAUGUCGCGGUGAAUACGUUCCCGGGCCUUGUACACACCGC